UAUGGGACAGCAGGGAGAGAGGCAGAGAGGAGGGUGGCCUGGUGCCAGCUCUCAGCCACAGAGUAGAUAGUCAUGAUAAGACCAGAGGUUAAACGUGGAUUCUGGUGGGUUUCUAGUUGCAUUACUCCAUUCUGGAGGGGAUAAAAGGAGCUUGUUCAUCUUAAGGCUAAAACAUGAAGCCAAAGUACGGGUCUGAAAAAUAUCCUGGGAGUGACUUCACCUCCCUGGAAUAACAUCAACUCUUCCCACAGCGGUGGGGAGCACAGAGGACAGCCUUCCCUAACAGAUGGCUGUGCUGCUUUUCCAUCACACAGAAUAAUGCUGUUCACCCUGACAUAUCAAGGGCCUUGUUUUGGAUUCAGGGCUCCUGUUCCCUCCUCAGGCUUGCUCAGGUGGAGGAAGCCCAAACUACAGGACUGUGGGCCGGGAAGAGCUGCAGGAUGGUAGCACACAUUCCCCAGCAGAUGCUCAGCGCUUUCGUCAAAAGCAAUUUAACAAGGAAGAACUCCCAGUGGCCCACCAAGUGCUUGCGCUGGCACAAAGGAAAGGCCACCUUAAGACAUGGUGUGAAGGCAGCAUCUACAAGCCAGAAAGAGAGUCCUCCCCAG
Molecule: long non-coding RNA, 608 nt
Organism: Tupaia belangeri chinensis (Chinese tree shrew)
Lineage: Eukaryota; Metazoa; Chordata; Mammalia; Scandentia; Tupaiidae
Exons: 4
Source: RefSeq, a predicted model, not a curated record